This is a long non-coding RNA of Leptopilina boulardi, 801 nucleotides long. RefSeq lists it as uncharacterized. NCBI's taxonomy places the organism in Eukaryota, Metazoa, Arthropoda, Insecta, Hymenoptera, Figitidae. The transcript has 3 exons. The record is from RefSeq and is a predicted model, not a curated record.
CGCUGGCAACUCAGGCAGUGGAGAUUAAUAAAUACGUCUGCUUCAUUGUUGGUCCGCUGAUGUCUCAAGAAAGAGAGAACAUCGAAGGAGCUGCGAAACGUGAAUGCUACUGUGUGGACUCAUUUCGUAUGCAGAAUUGCGCGUCACUUCGCAUCUAUAGGUUGGCAGAUUCUAUCCUGGAUGGCUUAUAUCUUGAAGGACUCAGAAUUCACACAGACUUUUUAUAGAAUUCGGUCUAUUUUGACGGUUAUUCUUCACAUUUUUCGAAUGGAAAUUUAACUUGAAAUUAGGAAUCUCCGAGGGCUAUUUAGUUUGAAACCUCAUCUCCUUGAAGCUGAAAAUUCGUCAUUAUGGCUGUGUAAUAAUACAACGAUUCUAAGGGACUUCUGUUUUUUCCUUCGAGGCAGUGUGUUGACAUUCGGUUUUUGUGUCUCCGGUUCUAAUAUCAUGCAGUAGGAAUUAAAAUUCAUAAAUAGGAAUAUUUCAGUUUAUAUUUGCAAAUCGUCAUGUGAACAAAUAUAAAUUUUGUCGGGAACAAAAUUUAAGUCGUGGACUUUUAGAUCUUUUUUUUUUUAUUUUGUGAAAUUGUUAUUGUCUUAAUGUACCUAUUUUUUUCAAUUUUAAUUUCUACGUGAUUCUCGGGAGUGUUCGAAUAUACUUAAAACCGCGUACGUUCAAUAAAAAAGUAUUUAAUAUAAUUGUUUAGUAUUUUCGGGAGUGUUCGAAAUUUCUAAAAUCGCGAGUGUUUCAUGAUUCUCUGGAAAGCAAGUCUGUGCAGCCUCAGGAUGGAGUUCGAGCACG